GAUGAACGCUGGCGGCGUGCCUAAUACAUGCAAGUCGAGCGAACGGACGAGAAGCUUGCUUCUCUGAUGUUAGCGGCGGACGGGUGAGUAACACGUGGAUAACCUACCUAUAAUACUGGGAUAACUUCGGGAAACCGGAGCUAAUACCGGAUAAUAUUUUGAACCGCAUGGUUCAAAAGUGAAAGACGGUCUUGCUGUCACUUAUAGAUGGAUCCGCGCUGCAUUAGCUAGUUGGUAAGGUAACGGCUUACAAGGGCAACGAUGCAUAGCCGACCUGAGAGGGUGAUCGGCCACACUGGAACUGAGACACGGUCCAGAGUCCUACGGGAGGCAGCAGUAGGGAAUCUUCCGCAAUGGGCGAAAGCCUGACGCAGCAACGCCGCGUGAGAGAUGAAGGUCUUCGGAUCGUAAAGCUCUGUUAUUAGGGAAGAACAUAUGUGUAAGUAACUGUGCACAUCUUGACGGUACCUAAUCAGAAAGCCACGGCUAACUACGUG
Molecule: ribosomal RNA, 497 nt
Filed under: uncultured bacterium
Lineage: Bacteria
Description: partial 16S ribosomal RNA
Rfam family: Bacterial small subunit ribosomal RNA
Source: RNAcentral